Molecule: ribosomal RNA, 253 nt
Filed under: uncultured bacterium
Lineage: Bacteria
Description: partial 16S ribosomal RNA
Rfam family: Bacterial small subunit ribosomal RNA
Source: RNAcentral
UACGGAGGAUCCAAGCGUUAUCCGGAUUUAUUGGGUUUAAAGGGUGCGUAGGUGGACUUAUAAGUCAGAGGUGAAAGCUAGCAGCUUAACUGUUAAAUUGCCUUUGAUACUGUUUUUCUUGAGUGUAGUUGGCGUUGGCGGAAUGUGACAUGUAGCGGUGAAAUGCGUAGAUAUGUCACAGAACACCGAUCGCGAAGGCAGCUAACGAAGCUAUCACUGACACUGAUGCACGAAAGCGUGGGGAGCAAACAGG